This 317-nucleotide small nuclear RNA is filed under the name Octodon degus (degu). Its description in RNAcentral is "7SK RNA (ENSODEG00000024384.1)". It matches the Rfam family "7SK RNA". Rfam says of the family: 7SK was discovered as an abundant small nuclear RNA in the mid-70s but a possible function has only recently been suggested. Two independent studies have found that 7SK RNA binds the CDK9/cyclin T complex (known as elongation factor P-TEFb). The record is from RNAcentral. Lineage: Eukaryota; Metazoa; Chordata; Mammalia; Rodentia; Octodontidae.
GGAUGUGAGGGUGAUCUGGCUAUGACAUCUGUCACCCCAUUGAUCUCUAGGUUUGAUUCAGCUCAUCUGGCUGGCUAGGCAGGUGUCCCCUUCCUCCCUCAACCAUCGAUGUGUAUCCCGCCCGAAGCUGCAUGCUCGAUUGAAGAGGAUGACCACCCCCGAUAGAGGAGGACCAUUCCUCGGUCAAGGGUAUGCGAGCAGCUGCACUCCCUGGCUAGACCCUCCAAACAAGCUCUCAAGAAAGAAAUUGAGGGACCAGGGAGAUGGCUCAGUAGAAUAAAUGCUUCCCUGGCAAGCGCAAGGGCCUGAGUUCAAUC